GACGAACGCUGGCGGCGUGCUUAACACAUGCAAGUCGAACGGAAAGGCCCUGCUUUUGUGGGGGGCUCGAGUGGCGAACGGGUGAGUAACACGUGAGUACCCUGCCCUUGAACUUGGGAUAACUUCAGGACAUUGGGGUUAAUACCGGCUAGGAGCUCCUGCGGCAUGGUGGGGGUUGGAAGGUUGCGGCGGUUGGGGAUGGACUCCCGGCUUAUCAGCUUGUUGGUGGGGUAGUGGCUUACCACGGCUUUGACGGGUAGCCGGCCUGAGGGGGUGACCGGCCACAUUGGGACUGAGAUACGGCCCAGACUCCUACGGGAGGCAGCAGUGGGGAAUAGUGCACAAUGGGCGGAGGCCUGAUGCAGCAACGCCGCGUGCGGGAUGACGGCCUUCGGGUUGUAAACCGCUUUCGCCGGUGACGAAGCGUGAGUGACGGUAAUGGGUAAAGAAGCACCGGCUAACUACGUG
This 468-nucleotide ribosomal RNA is filed under the name uncultured bacterium. Its description in RNAcentral is "partial 16S ribosomal RNA". It matches the Rfam family "Bacterial small subunit ribosomal RNA", at positions 28 to 507 of the family's 1533-position model. The record is from RNAcentral.